RNAcentral lists this ribosomal RNA (253 nucleotides) under uncultured bacterium. RNAcentral describes it as "partial 16S ribosomal RNA". It matches the Rfam family "Bacterial small subunit ribosomal RNA", at positions 524 to 776 of the family's 1533-position model. The record is from RNAcentral.
GACGAAGGAUUCAAGCGUUGUCCGGAUUUACUGGGUUUAAAGGGUGCGUAGGUGGAUUAAUAAGUCAGUGGUGAAAGCCCGGAGCUCAACUCCGGAACUGCCAUUGAUACUGUUAGUCUUGAGUACAGUUGAGGUGGGCGGAAUGUGUCAUGUAGCGGUGAAAUGCUUAGAUAUGACACAGAACACCGAUUGCGAAGGCAGCUCACUAAGCUGUAACUGACACUGAGGCACGAAAGCGUGGGGAGCAAACAGG